AUUCUAUUCUAGAUCAGCGAGUCCACGACCCGGCCAAGGUGAAGGGGGAUUAGGAAUCUUAUCAUGCUUUGCGACCUAUCGCGCAGCGUAGGUACAAACAAGCAAGGCGUAGAUGCAUCGAACUGAAAGGUACCGGGUGACCUCCUAGGCGCGGCCGUAGUGCUACCAAGCCACAGAACCUCAUCCCUGAUAUUCAUCGGAGGGCUGUGAUCUGAUAGGAGCACGGAGUGCCUGUCGGGGCAUUUGCCAAUGUUUUCAAUAAUUUUCUCGCCGCUUUAGCCAGGAGACAUGAUUUCUUUAAUCUUUUUUUGAUGUGGAAAUCACAACGAAUUGAUGCGCUAGUGGCUUGUUGGAGAUAUAUAUGUCGAUUUUUCUUCCUUGAUGAUAACAUUUGUGCUUGGACUUACUGCUUCACGCAAAUCAAUAUAUCAUUCAAGAGGUGGCGAUCUGAGGUGAAGAAAAAAUAUUUCAUGUAAAUAACAAACGAUUGGGAACGCUUUUGGCAUCUUGACGAGCGUGUAGAUGGAGUAGAAUUUUUUACACUUUGUGAUUACUGGGACACGGCUGAAAUCCAGGCUCAAGCUGAAAUAGCAAGGAGGAACCGCAAUGCUCCCCAUAGUUACGAGCAUCACAGGGUUCCAGGUCCUUUAGCCAGCAUUAUCAUCAAUUGUCGCUUGAGGGAAGGGGAGAUCUCGGACAUUUUGCAGAUCGUAUUCUGACUUCUUGGAGCCCGAAUUACACCAAUGAAGAGAAUAAGACGAAGAACAAGGAUCUGGUUAUAAGUAGCAGUUCAUUUGUAUAUUCAAUUUCAUAACAAUGCAUCAUUAAAAAGUUGACUUGCCCGGGUUGUUUUGAAAUAUCGCAGGAGAAAUUACAUGCCAAGGUACAAGAGCAAAUAUCUCAGUCUCAGGUUGAUUCUAGCACUCUGGCCCGGCUAAGUAGAGAGGAGGAGGACUCCAUUAUCGAGACGGUCAUUGGACCAAGUAGGAAGAACAGAUACCGGUGGAGAGGAUCCGAGCAGAAGCCGCACGAGUCUAGUAGCACUUACGAGUCUGCAGCACCACCAGGAACACCAGGAAACAGUUCAUAUCAAGACUCGAUGGAGCAGCGGAUGAAAGCGAUUGAAGAUUGGCAAUCACAGCAAAUAACAUAUCAGCGGAUUGCGGAGGAAGAACGAAGGCGCCGGAGCAGCAACAAUUAGAGUUCACACAGCUCAUGUCGACUCAGUCUGAAGAGGCUCAGGAAGGCAUAUAGGAGACGAUUUAUGGCGGAUCAGGCCGGGACUUCUAGACAAUGUGAAGCUGGUGAUGAGGAGGAUGAUGAUGAUGAUCAGGAGGACUGAUUUAUUUUUUAACCUUUGAAAACAAUGAAUGAGUGUGUUGUAUAAACAAUAUUUAUCAUGGUGUGUGCUGUAUAAACAACGUUUAUUAUGCUGGGAUAUUUUAAUUAAAUUAUAUGUGUUAUAUAUGUAUGAGAAUGAAUAUUA
Molecule: long non-coding RNA, 1486 nt
Organism: Asparagus officinalis (garden asparagus)
Lineage: Eukaryota; Viridiplantae; Streptophyta; Magnoliopsida; Asparagales; Asparagaceae
Exons: 6
Source: RefSeq, a predicted model, not a curated record